RNA transcript from Peromyscus californicus insignis, 7219 nucleotides. It is a transcript of the gene named PMS1 homolog 1, mismatch repair system component, with no coding region annotated. The record is from RefSeq and is a predicted model, not a curated record. Lineage: Eukaryota; Metazoa; Chordata; Mammalia; Rodentia; Cricetidae. The transcript is spliced from 12 exons.
AGCGCGCGCGCGCGCGCUGCGACCGUGCAGGCGUCCCGCAAAGUAGGCCCCGCUCCCGAGCGCUUGCUGACUGCACGCCGCGGUGCGUGGUGAAUGCCUUACCUCGCGCGAGCCAGAAGAUACAUCAGUUUCUCUUAACUGACUUUCUGUUCAUAGCACACUUAAACAGCAGUGUUGAUCUCCUUCAGCAGACAUGAAUCCUGUUCUGACAAUGCAGGUAUCCAGUGCUGACAUGUAAACCUGGCAUCACCCUUCUGUUUUUCAAAAGAGGUCUUCAGUGCACAUUCCUAAUAUGCCACAUUCCAGAGCCAAGAGGAAGGGCCGUAUAAAUAAAAUAGCCUUUUAUGGGUUUAAAUCAAAAACAAGGAAGGACUGCCCAAUCUGUUGGUAGCUAAAGCUGCUCUGCUGAGAGCGAGGAUGAAACAGUUGCCUGCAGCGACAGUCCGCCUCCUGUCCAGUUCUCAGAUAAUCACGUCGGUGGUCAGUGUCGUAAAAGAGCUCAUUGAAAACUCCUUGGAUGCUGGAGCCACCAGCGUGGAAGUUAAACUGGAGAACUAUGGGUUUGACAAAAUCGAGGUUCGGGACAAUGGUGAGGGCAUCAAGGCUGUGGAUGUACCUGUGAUGGCAGUGAAGUACUACACCUCAAAGAUAAACAGUCACGAAGACCUGGAGAAUCUGACAACCUAUGGUUUUCGAGGUGAAGCCUUGGGGUCAAUUUGUAAUGUUGCAGAGGUGGUAGUCACAACAAGGACAGCUGCUGAUGACUUUAGCACCCAGUAUGUUUUAGAUGGCAGCGGCCACAUACUUUCUCAGAAGCCUUCACAUCUUGGUCAGGGUACUACUGUAACUGCUCUAAAGUUGUUUAAGAAUCUCCCUGUAAGAAAGCAAUUUUACUCAACUGCUAAAAAGUGUAAAGAUGAGCUAAAAAAUGUACAGGAUCUCCUCAUAAGCUACGGUGUCCUUAAACCUGGCACAAGGAUUGUUUUUGUACAUAAUAAGGCAGUUAUUUGGCAGAAAAGUAGAGUACCAGAUCACAGGAUGGCUCUCAUGUCGGUUCUGGGAACUGCUGUGAUGGGCAACAUGAUGUCUGUUCAGCACCACUGUGAAGAAUCUCAGAUUUACCUAAGUGGAUUCUUUCCAAAGCUUGAUGCAGACCACAGUUCCACAAGUCUUUCAACCCCAGAGAGAAGUUUCAUCUUUAUUAAUAGUCGACCAGUACAUCAGAAAGAUGUAUUAAAGCUAAUUCGAUGUUAUUAUAAUCUGAAGUGCCUAAAGGAAUCUACUCGGUUGUAUCCCAUUUUCUUUCUGAAAAUUGAUGUUCCUUCAGCUGAGCUGGAUGUAAAUCUAACACCAGAUAAAAGUCAAGUAUUAUUACAGAAUAAGGAAUCUGUUUUAAUUGCUCUUGAAAAUCUGAUGAUGACCUGUUAUGGACCACUACUAAGUACAGAGUCUUGUGAAAAUAACAAAGUAGAUGUUUCCUCAGCCAACAUGGCCGCUUGUGAAACAGCAGAAACAGAUGUGCUCUUAAAUAAAAUGGAAUCAUCAGGAAAUAAUUAUCCAAAUGCUGACACUUCAGCUGUUCACUUCCAAAAUGAUGAAUCUAGAAAAGACAGUAAUCAUUAUUCAAAUCAACAGAUAAAUGUAAAUGACCACUGUGGCGGUCAUUUUAGUAGUGAGCACUCUGGCAUUAAUAAGGAUACUAGAAGUACAUUUCAAAAUAUCCCCAUGAAUAAUUUAUCAUCAGAGGAUGUCCAGAGUAAAUAUAGUAAGACUAACCUUGCAGGUUCCAAUGAGCAUAUCCAAGGAGAAAAUGGCAGGAACAGGACAGAAGAACGUGGGGGAGACGGGGGAGAAGCAUUUCCUGAGAAAUCUCUGGAGAUCUGUUCAGAUGACUGGAGCAAGGGAAAUGUGUUUAAUGCGAUGGGAGAGAAUAUAGAACCUGUGAAAAUUUUAGUGCCACAGGAAAGUUUAGCAUGUAAAGUUAGCAAUGAUAGUCACCCAGCCCUUAGCCCAAAGGAUCUCAGUGAUGGUCCUUGUAGCAAAACAUCCAAUGUGAUAGAUAACAAGUCUGGACAGCUUACAGCCUAUGACUUAAUUAGCAACCGAGCAGUCAGGAAGCCCAUGUCAGCAAGUGCCCUGUUUAUUCAAGACCAUCGCACUCAGUUCCUCGCAGAAAAUCCCAAGACAGGUUUGGAGGCUGCAACAGCUCAAGCUGAGGCACUGUGGGAGACACUGAGUGAAGACGAAAAACUCAAGGCCAGAGGUCCUUGGACCAUGAUCUACUGGAUCAGGGCGCUUGCACCGUGAUCCAUCCACUGGAUCAGGCCUGUUCGUUCUCCCGGAGCUUUCUUUCUAUAAUCCUCAGUUCUGCAAAGAAUAGAAAGUGACCCAAGAGGAGACCUGGGAGUGCAGCUGAGUGGCAGAGCACCGCCUGCCUUCUGUGGAUAUAGUUCAUGUCCACACCCCUCUCUCAGUGCUGGGCCCUAUCUGCCUUGAACCUGUGCGGGCCCUGUACAUGUUCCACAGUCUCUGAAUUCAGAUCUGAAUCAUUCCUGUUGUCUGGAAGACACUGCUUUCCUGGAGUCCUCCAUCCCCUCUGCCUCUGACAAUCGUCAGGUCUCCUUGUCUGCACGGAGGACUGAGUCCUCCACAGUCUCGCUGUGAGCGUUGUUCAUCGUCGGCCUCUGUUCGGUGCCUUCUACAUAGAACUGUAGAAGUCUUCAUCAUAGAACUGAUGCGUUUAAGGAAAGGGAAAUAUGGAGAGUUGGGAGAAGACUUAGCAGUUGUCCCAUGUAUGGGACAGAAAAUGGCUUCCUUGUAUAAAACUAACUGGGAAGGUUUCUGGGAGUUGUCACAGGAGAAGGCACACAGUGCUGCUGAGGAAGUGAAGAGACCCUGGCACAGGUGAGGAUGUGCUGAAGAGAGACAGGACUGGCCAGAGUUUCAGCGUCUGCUGGGAAGGUAGGGUGGACUCGGGCUAGGGAUGCUUAGGUCUCUUCUGAUUUUUUUGUCCUCUUCUUUUCCUUACCCUCCUCUGGUGGGUUAGAAUCCAGGUGUGAACUAUGUACCUCCCCUGCCACUCAGGGGAGAAGGGUCCUUCAGUCAGUAGGUCUUAAUUUGAGCUUUCAUUUGCAAUAUAUAAGUAUAUUCCUACUUAAAAUAACUAAGUGAUGUAGCAAUUUGGAUGUUACUGGAAAUGAUAAAUAAACUUUAUAAUUCAAUGUAGCCUUUAGUCUCAGAAACAUCAUUUAACCUGACUGUUUAGUCAAGUCAGUGGGGAUACUUUCCAUUCAAGCUGCUAAGUCCCUUAAUGGUAUUAAAUACAGAGGUAGCAUCUGCUCUUACUUAACAUUUACCUCGUAUUAUUUUGGACAUAACUUUUUAUGUUUCCCAAGGAACUAAUUAAAUAGACUUCUUGAAUAAAUCAAAAGAUUAGUACCAUAUGCAAAAAUUUGCACAUUAUAAUUAAUUACAAAUGGUGACCUUUAUCUUGAACUCAUUUUCCACCCCAUAGGAAAGUCUGGAGUUCUGAUGUCUAAGAGCUAAAAAUAGACUUAUUUCUAGUGCCUGUGAAAGUAAACUAUUAAAGAUCAUGUGUUUUGUGUAACUAACCCAUAUGUUCAUGUUCUAGGUAUAAUUGUAAAAAAAUAACUUUGAAAAGUAUGAAUAUGAGAAGUAAAUGAUUAAUUGUUCACCCAGUUUGCAAUGAAACAGACAUUUUUUGCAAUCUUAUCCAAUUAACAUCUAGCAUUUCUUUAUUCAGAAACAUGUGGCUAUAAACUGCACACUAUGUUUUAGUCUGUUGUUUCUUGGCCUCACUUUAUAACAUACAUACAAGAAACAUUCUGUAGAGUCUAAACCAGCUUCUUACAGGACCAGAAAUAACCGUAGUUCUCUAGGCCCAAGUUUAAAACUUGUCAACUUUUGGUCAGAUGUCUCAUUCCAGCUGUAGUAUUUGUGUUUCUUUUUGUUCUCGUGUUUGUUGUGUUGGGGAUUGAACCUGGCCUUGUGUAUGCUAAGCAUGGACUCUGCCACGAGUGCAGCCCCAGCCAGCACAUAGGCUUCCUGACCGCAACUUAGAGUAAGCCUCGCCUUUUACAGUGUGCCAAGCAACUCACUGCUGUUACAGAGCUAGGCAGUGGAUGUACGCUGCCCACAUACUAUAAAUGAGUACCCUGAGGGGCAGAACAAAGUACUUGGCACUAAGUUUACGUGGUUUCUAGGCAGCAGGAAUAUGCCAAGCAGGACACCAGGCUCUCUGGGGUCCAUUGGGCACUGCUCCCUGAGGUGAACAAGGAGCAGUUAAUUCUCAUGUGACAGAAUCCGUGUGGAGUGCUCAAGUAGAGCCAUCCAGUGUCAGCCAGGCCUGAGCGUGGAAGCCAGGCACCUCAGUUCCUCACAGUGUGCAUGGCACUGCCACUGUGGUGGACUGCCUUUGGCUCUAGAAGCUUCCUUUAACUCCUUUUAUAACUGAGAAAAGAAGAAAGCCCUCUCUAACUGUUGUACCCGCUAUAAAUUUGAAAUACCCAUCGUUUACACUGUUGAAGUUGAGUUACAUAGUUUAGAUAUGUUGGAUUUACUGGAAUUUAUGUAUCACCUGAUGACUUUAAGUGAGAAUAAAACAAUUAACAUUAACUGAUGGAUUAAAUGGUGUGCUUUUUACUCCGUCUGCUAUUUUAAUGACUUUAUUGUGUAGUCUUUUUAUUAUUUAUUUGAUUUUAGAAUGAAAUUGCUCUAUAGAAUAAUCUGGUCUUGAACUUGUGAUUCUCCUUCAUCCACCUUCCAAGUGCCUGGACUGUGGGCAUAUGCUGCCAUGUCUGGCUCCCCAACACUUUCUUAAAUCAUUCUUUAAACUGGUAACAUUUACCUACAGUGGAAUGCAAAGAUCUUAGCAGUAUAGUUCAGCACAUUUUUGGAAAUACACACAUCUACCACAAUGAAAACAUGCAUUGCCCUCAUCCCAACUACCUCCACUUUUUUUUUUAUUUCUGUUAUAUUACCUUGGUUUUACCAGUAUUUAAACUUUAAAUAACUAUUUGACAUCUCUGACUUUUCAACAAUAUUUCCAUGACAUCAUUUUUAAGUGGUAAUGUCUAGUUUUAUAAGAGUAAUAAGGUUUGUUAAUUCAACCUCUAAUUGUUGGACACUGAGGCUAGUGUGAAUGCUACUAUGUUGGUUAGUUUUCAGAUAUUUGAGGCUUUUAAAAAUAAACUUGGUUUCCAGUUUAACAUGAACAGAAAGUUAGAUUUCACUCACCUUUUGCCAUGUCUGGCUCAUCAUAUUUCCUGUCCUGGUUAAUGUUCUGUGUUCACAGAUAAAGCAGCAGAGUUUCUGCCAAUCAUUUAAGUUGAAGUGGUUAGCAAUGUUGCUCAGAUUUGUCAUUUCACUGACAUCUUGUAGUCUGUUUAUGCCACUGAUCAGAAGAAGAAAGGCACACACAUUUGCGUGUUAGGCUCCUUAGUGGCCCCUUCAACUCCAAUAACUUGGCAUUUCGAUCUGCUUCAUCUAAUGUUGUCAGUCUCUCCUUUUCUUACUCUUUCUGUUUGUAUAGUGUAUGCAUUUUUCAUUCUAUGCUACCUGUGUUAUUUAUUAUAAAAGUGUGACUGUUAAAAGCCCAUAAAGCUAGGAAUCCUGUCCUUUAGUUAGAUUUAAUAUAAUAAUGGACGUUGUUGGCAUUAGAUCUGCCCUGCCCCCUGUUGCCUGUUCCUGUCUUCCUCAGAGAGGUUGCAGAGGUAUUCAGGGUUUGAGUGAAUACAUUUUAACAUCUAAUUUAUACUCCUGCUUACUUUGCUUAAUACAUCAUGCAUCCUUUUAUGAUGCUUCAGUUAAAGUUAAUACCACACAGUCUCACAUAAACCUAAAAGCCCACAGAUGUAUUGAUUCAUGCUUAUGUUAUUAUUCUCUUAAGAGUGCAGUUACGUUAGCAGAAAACUUAUUUUAUCUGAAGGUAUUUGUUCAGUCUUCCCUGUGAAGGACAUUUGUGGUUGGUAGAUGUGAAGCUGCACAUUCAGCCAGCGUUGCACUGUCCUCUUGGUUUCCUUCUGGCUGACUGAUUUGGGGAAUUCACCUUUGGUUUUCACCAGCUUGCUUCUGGUGUAUCGGGCAGGCUUUGUUUGCAUUUAACCUGCCUGGACUUGAGUUUCGUAGGUUGUUGACUUGUCAUUAAGUGUAGUUUUUUUUUUUUUAAUUGACACUUCAGGUAUUGGGAUGCUUAUGCAUGAGCCCCAGGCUGCUUCAGCGAUCAUAGGCCCCUUUCUUUCUACUCACAGUGGUCAUUUCUGUAGCUCUUCCCUCAGGUUCACUGGCCCGUCUGUCGUUUCUAUUUCUGCUCUGUAGAAUGUUCCAUCCAGAUACUGUUUUUAGUUCUGUGCUUUUCACAUCUUUCCAUGUGCACAUGUAAAUUCUGCUUUCCCCUUCAGACCCUCCUAUUCCCUGUUUUUCUCUAUUGCUCAUCCCAGACUCCCAAAACAUGUAUACAAAACUUCUUAUUUAUUAUAAAUCUGAGUCACUUUGAAGGUGGCUUUUCCUGACCUCUCCUCUCCUUGGCCAUGACUCACAUUUUUCUGUUUUACUUCUUGGGUGGUUACUUAAUUGUGCAGUUGCCAUUAUGGGUAAUGCCUGUUCACUUCAGAUGUCUUUGAGCUUGUGGGAUUUUGUUUUGCAUUGAAGGAUGAUGAGAUUCACUCAGUUCUAGGGGGUAGAGUGUUUCCUCCUAUGAUAUGCCCCUCUUCUAGUUUUAAUUGAAAGCCCAAUGUGUUUACAAAGCCCCACAUGUAACUCAGACACCAGACUCUGUUUCCCCUGCACUGGAAGCAGCUGGAAACUCUGUUCAGCUCAUUAGCCUUUUAAUGUUUCCUGAGGGCUCCCACACAUGGGAUUUUCUCUCAAUUUCAAGUACUGGAAGCAAGGAUCUGUGUUCUGAUGACGCAGGCUAGUUGGUGUUGUCUUCUAGCUAAGUUCCUGAUGCUCCCACCAUCUAAUGCUGGAUAAGAGCUCCGUAAAUGCAAAUGCAAGUCCUUCUCAUUUGCUUUUGACUGCUUUUGAGAAGCCAGUUUCUGUGUUCUGUUUGGGGUUUAUCUUAAGCACACACAAGAGGGUCGCUCUAAUACACAUUUCCUUGUCAUUAUUGAAUAACAGCUCAUCCAUUAUUCUUAGUAAAAUUUACUUCAGAUGAUUAUUAUGUUUUUAUUAUGAGCUCAUUAGUCCUGUUUUCUCUCUG